This is a long non-coding RNA of Phasianus colchicus (ring-necked pheasant), 1744 nucleotides long. RefSeq lists it as uncharacterized. The record is from RefSeq and is a predicted model, not a curated record. NCBI's taxonomy places the organism in Eukaryota, Metazoa, Chordata, Aves, Galliformes, Phasianidae.
UAAGGUGGGCAGGCAUGGGCCAUGACUCCAGCCAGUCAGCCAAGGCAGUCAGUCUGGGACCAGGACACCAGUAGCCAGCCAAGGCAGGCAGGAGACAUGCUGGGAAUAUUUUCCUCCCCAUAGCUGCAGAGAUACAGAUACAGGCUGUCUCCUUGCAGUCUGGAGUCAUGAAGAACACCACCUAUAUUGGAGGCCUUGUAUAUGGUUAUACGAAACUGCAAAGCUUCAAUCCUGACAAGACAAGGAGGAUGGUGCUGUGGUAGGAGGAAGGGGAGGACGUUGAAGAUUUGUGAGUACCCUUCAAUGGUUCAGGCGUUAGAGUUUGUUGAGCUCUGUCCCUAAAAAUGAACUCUGCUGUGUAUUUUUCACCAUGUAGAGAAAACAGUUAACUGUAUCUUAAUUGUAUCCUGUAUUUGUUCGAAUUCAUUAUUUCCUAUCAAUAAUGACAAACCUCACACCUCUGAAUUCAUAUUUUAAGAUUAAAUGCAACAGGCACCUCCAGACUCCACAGACAAAAUCUUGCUAGUCAGUCUAUGAGUAUUUCUGUCAUCUCUUUAGAAAAUAAGAUCAGAAAAUGUUGUGAGUUCACUGAGUACACUAUCAUUAUUUUGUUCUUUCUCUCAGCCUUGAAGCUGAGCACAGCUGGAUAAAAUUCAGAGGAAACUUAAGAUUUCUUUUGAUUCAUGUUGCCUCCAAAUUGUUCCUUGGUACUCUGCUUGAUUUCUUAAUUUAUCUCUGCAUAAUGAGAAGCAGAUAUUCUUGAUCAAGGAACUGCUGAUAGUUACUAAAUUGUUUCCCUGUGGAUUUCUUUUAUUUUUACUGUUCUAUCUGUUCAGUGGGGGGGAGGGGGAAUUAUAAUUAUUAUAUAAGCCUUGUUAUGUUGGAUAUGAAAAGCAUAAUUAUGAAAAUGCUAUAUUUAGUAUAAUCUAGAACCACAAACUCUAAAAUCCAUGGCAUCCAUUUUUUAACCUCCUGCUUUGAUCAUUUGAAAAAUAAUAAUCCCACUCCCCUUCUAAUUUUACUGAUAUCCUAGUUUUAGGUAAGAAAAAAACUUCCUUGAAAUUCCUGCCUUUCAUUGCCAUCUUUUCAGAGCAGACCUUCUAAUGCUAUGGUAGCAUCUAUGGAUUUGAGCCUGGAAUAUAGUUAAACCAUAUAUGUGCCCUUUUGGAUUAAAUUAGUAAUAAUCAGGAAGUUCCAAUAGGAAGAGUGGUCCCACAGGGGAACAAAUAGGGAUGAAAGAUGCUUUUACUCCAGAUGCUAAUAUGAAAAUAACGUUUACCUUGAAAUGCUUACUUUUAAGCACUGUUUUGCUGUAAAGUUAUUGCUGCAGCAGAAUCAAAAUAUAUUCAUGGUUCACUGUUAAUGUUCUGUACUAUUAGAAUUUCCAGUAAAGUCUUUUUCUUUCAAUUCCCAGUUGGUCCUAAAUUUUAUGUUAAGGCUACAUUUUACCUAGUGAAAAUGUGUAAAUUAAAAGAACCAGAACAGUGUCGAUAGAAGGAACAGUCCAGAUAACAUCCCCUGUGAUAAGAACUUGCCGAAGUUGAAUUGAGGAGUUGGAGUGAUUAAAUAUAAUAAAUGAGAUAGGAUGUACAAAACAAAAAAAUCAUCCUAUUAUAUGCUAUUAUACUAUCCUGUUAUUCAUGCUCUUAGCACAAUUCAGAUGGCUGUGAAUAAGAGAAAUGCUGUGCAUAUGUAUCUAAUGCAAUGCAUAAAUAUAUACACAACCCUCCCAUGCCUACUGCUG